CCCUUAGAUGUUCUGGGCCGCACACGCGCUACACUGAAGGAGGCAGCGUGUACUCCUGGAUCGAAAGAUUUGGGUAACCCGCGAAUCUCCUUCGUGCUAGGGAUUGAGGGUUGCAAUUAUCCUUCAUGAACGAGGAAUUCCCAGUAAGUGCAAGUCAUAAGCUUGCGCUGACUACGUCCCUGCCCUUUGUACACACCGCCCGUCGCUACUACCGAUUGAAUGAUUUAGUGAGGACUUCGGACUGGGACCGAUGCGGCUUUCGGGCUGCGUCGGUAUUCUGGAAAGAUGUCCAAACUGUAUCAUUUAGAGGAAGUAAAAGUCGUANCA
RNAcentral lists this ribosomal RNA (327 nucleotides) under uncultured eukaryote. RNAcentral's name for it is "partial 18S ribosomal RNA". It matches the Rfam family "Eukaryotic small subunit ribosomal RNA", at positions 1470 to 1796 of the family's 1831-position model. The record is from RNAcentral.